Molecule: unclassified non-coding RNA, 934 nt
Filed under: Hevea brasiliensis (rubber tree)
Lineage: Eukaryota; Viridiplantae; Streptophyta; Magnoliopsida; Malpighiales; Euphorbiaceae
Source: RNAcentral
ACUUUGGUUGUCUUCUCCAGUGAGGUAACAAUUGUCUUACUCCUGCUUGGCUUUAUGGUAUUCAUCUUGGUUGCUUUUUUUAUGCUUUCUUUGUGUUGUUCUAAUACACUUGCAUUUUAGAAAUUGGCUUUUUUUGAACUGGUUGCAUUUUCUAAUUUAAUAUAAUUAUUUUAAUCAAAGAAAAUAUGGAUAGUACAUUGAUAUUAUUUAAUUCAUCUCUCUUUGUUGUGAUGUAAGAUUGGGCAUGCUUUAGAAGUUUAGUUGAUCAAAUGAUAUUAAAUUUGGUGUGGAGGAGAGUUAUUGAUUAGCAAGAAAAAAAGUUGUUAAUGGGUUUCUUUAAUUCGGGAUUGAAGUUGGAUGAUAGAAACCUGGAUAAAUUGUUAGUACCUUUUAGUUUACUUGAGUAGCAAAUUAUUGAGGAAUUGGAUAUUGGACCAGUUAGCAGUGAAAGUAAAAUAUGGUACAUUGUAACUAUAAGAUAUUUUUAUUGUUUGAAGUGUCAUUGUUGGUCAUGAUAUGGCUAAACCUAGGGCUAUCCACUUUUGGGAAUAGAAUCUAAGUUGCUGGAAUUCCUCGGCUUUCUUUGAGAAUUCUCUAGGAGAAUGAAUAAUAGUAGUACUAAAAGAAGUGAUGAAUGAUAACUUGAUCAAAAGUCAAAAGCAUGUGCCAUUUUGCAAAUUUAGAAUUUGUAUCAUGCAUCAGGGGGGAAGCUGUGUGCUCAAGUCCUGGGGAUUUUGUUUCUUCCUUUGCCAAGGUUUUUAAUUAUAGUCUCGUAGGGUAUUACAUAAAGGCCAAUAUGUACGAUGGCCUUUUCACUUGCAUUGUAGCAGCCCUUGCAACAGUAUAUGUAAAAAUUCUUGGUGGGCACUGACAGCCUCCCACUUUCUCAACACUUGUGUUGGUAGUGUUGAAAAUUCUAAAAAAAAAAAAAAAA